GUGCUAGCCCCCGCGCGGGUGCCCGCGUCCCGGCCCGGAAGAGAGGCGGGACGACGGCGCGUCCUCUCCCCGCAAGAUUACCUCGCAGCGCGUAGCCGGCUUUGUGUUUCCCCUCCCUCCUUCUCGGCAGCCGCCCGGGCUGCAGCAGCCGCCGGAUCCGCCGCUGCGGCCGCCUCUUAAGCGCCGCAGAGCCCCAGAGGGUGUGGAUUCUGCAAUGCUGCACAGAAACCUACUGCAGCCUCAGACCAACAGCAGCAGCAGCAGCGGCGGCGGCGGCAGCAGCAGCAGCAGCAUUAGCAGCAGCAGCUUCUCUCAAUGCUGAGUAGCCAAGAAGCCAGUGUGUCCUCUCCUGGCUCUCAUUCCCUUCCUGCUAGUUGAAUACAGAUAAUCAUGAGGCCCAAGACCCUAAGGAACAGUGCAGCCAGGAGUCGGAAGGAGCCUGGGUUUCUGAAUCAUCACAUGGAGGGGAGCUGUCUUCAGCUGGGAGAGCUGUCUUCAGUUGGAUACUGGGAGGAAGAAAGGGAGCUGGUUAGGAAGCAAACUUGAGUUUCCCAUGCUCUGUGGCUGAGCAAGUCACUUCACCAUUCUCAGGAUGGAAGUGGGGAUGGAGGUGGCAUCGGCCUCAUUUGAACCACAUGGACUAAGAGGGGCUAUGGGAGUAUUCCCCAAAGGAAGACUGAGGGGCGUUACUAGAAAAUGGGAGAAUGGAAGCAGAGUGGGCAAAACCAACAGAUGUUCCCUAUAGUAAAUAAAAAAUUUGGACAAUUAUUAGUGAGCAAGUACUUAUAACAUAUAUGGCACAUGGGAUUGUGACUCACCAGUGUGUUAGCACAAUAUGGUCAAAAACCUCUGAUCCAAUUCAACCUACUCAUCUUAACGAUUUUAUCAGCAUUUAAUAAGUUUGUUUUGGCCAUCAUGUGUUAUAGUUUUGUUUGUGGUUUUGACACCUCAUUAGAGGUUUCAUCAGUGUAAGGAGCCAACCUAAGAGCUCUUCUCACAAGUUUCCCAAGAGAGAAAUUGCCCCUCCAAAUGUGAGGAGUCUCACUUUAUAUAGAUAGCAUCCACACUUCUUGCAGUGGAAAACAAACCUUAUAAAAUGUAAUACGUUUGGUUUCCUAACUUUUUCAUGACCCUGGGGUGGUAGAAGGAAGUGCAAGUUUUAUCACUUGGAUUUAGAGACAAGGAAAUUGAAAUGGAGAGAGAAUUGGGCUCACAUGCAGGCAGCAUGUCUAGCUGCCUCCAUCGUGUGAUCUGAGGCACCCCAUGAGGCCUAUGAUUACUGUAAACCUCUAAAAUAAAUAAAAAAUAAAACAAUCUCU
Molecule: long non-coding RNA, 1319 nt
Filed under: Homo sapiens (human)
Lineage: Eukaryota; Metazoa; Chordata; Mammalia; Primates; Hominidae
Description: HSALNT0359946
Source: RNAcentral